This 767-nucleotide unclassified non-coding RNA is filed under the name Rhodopseudomonas sp. BMel3VDA4. Its description in RNAcentral is "partial contains 16S-23S ribosomal RNA intergenic spacer and 23S ribosomal RNA". The stretch from base 657 to 767 matches the Rfam family "Bacterial large subunit ribosomal RNA", at positions 1 to 111 of the family's 2925-position model. The record is from RNAcentral. Lineage: Bacteria; Pseudomonadati; Pseudomonadota; Alphaproteobacteria; Hyphomicrobiales; Nitrobacteraceae.
GGAAGUUCAAGUCUUCCCAGGCCCACCAUAUUUGCGCGCUUUGAAUUGAAGCUGCUGCUGACGUCGACUUUGCAUCUGCAAAACGUACUCUUCAUUGAGCGUUGAGCAUUCGUCUUCUGGAACGGGGGCAUAGCUCAGCUGGGAGAGCGCGUGCUUUGCAAGCAUGAGGUCGUCGGUUCGAUCCCGUCUGCCUCCACCAGAAACUGGUUGGAUGCUGAUGUUGAGAUCGUAACAAACAUUCAGUGUGUUCACGGAGCGCGCCAUUUGGGCAGCGCCUGAUGUAGUCCGCGUAAUAACUUCGCUUGCGACAGACUGUAGACGUCGCUUGCGGGAUUUAUGACAUCGUAAAGAGGAGAUCGUUCCGAGGUUCGGAUCUGCAAGCAAUUGCGGGUGCCGCAAUCAUAAUCUCCAGGAAUUGAGUGCGAACGCUUUGCUUGCAAAGCUUCCGCAUCUGCAAUUUCUUUUCAACGAAGCUUGACCGCCUCGUUGUCGGUUCGAUCUUACGAAGCAAACUGGUCUUUCUUAAUCAUAUCCAGCUGCAUGAAGUGCGCACGGCUUGACCGCCGGCGUGCGGAUUUUGCGUUUCCAAUUCGUUGGUUGCGCCAAGCAGCGUGCAGCAAACUCUGCCGAGUGUGUGGAUAUUGAUAAUGAGAGCAAUCAAGUGUCUUAAGGGUAUUCGGUGGAUGCCUUGGCAAUGAGAGGCGAUGAAGGACGUGCUACGCUGCGAUAAGCUAUGGGGAGCCGCGAAGAGGCUUUGAUCCAUAGAU